Molecule: ribosomal RNA, 434 nt
Filed under: uncultured archaeon
Lineage: Archaea
Description: bacterial SSU rRNA
Rfam family: Archaeal small subunit ribosomal RNA
Source: RNAcentral
GGACCUGACUGCUAUCGGAUUGAUACUAAGCCAUGCGAGUCAUUGUAGCAAUACAAGGCAUACGGCUCAGUAACGCGUAGUCAACCAAACCUAUGGACGGGAAUAACCUCGGGAAACUGAGAAUAAUGCCCGAUAGAACAUUAUGCCUGGAAUGGUUUAUGUUCCAAAUGAUUUAUCGCCGUAGGAUGGGACUGCGGCCUAUCAGUUUGUUGGUGAGGUAAUGGCCCACCAAGACUAUUACAGGUACGGGCCCUGAGAGGAGUAGCCCGGAGAUGGGUACUGAGACACGGACCCAGGCCCUAUGGGGCGCAGCAGGCGAGAAAACUUUGCAAUGUGCGAAAGCACGACAAGGUUAAUCCGAGUGGUUUCUGCUAAAGAAACCUUUUGUCAGUCCUAGAAACACUGAUGAAUAAGGGGUGGGCAAGUUCUGGUGU